UGGAUGGAAAAAGUUUCUUUGCAGGAAGCACGAUUAUGCCAACCUU
RNAcentral lists this transfer RNA (46 nucleotides) under Histiostomatidae sp. XFX. Its description in RNAcentral is "tRNA-Ala". Lineage: Eukaryota; Metazoa; Arthropoda; Arachnida; Sarcoptiformes; Histiostomatidae. The record is from RNAcentral.